GGCAAGAACCAGUCUCCCCCAAAGCCCCGAAUUGGAAAUUGUGGUGGCUGAUGUGACGGAGGGGGCGGAUAAGUUGGCCGGAGUGAUUGGGGAUGCAGAGGCGGUUAUUUGUGCGACGGGGUUUCGACCAUCUUGGGAUCUCUUCACUCCGUGGAAAGUUGAUAACUUUGGCACAGUGAAUCUUGUGGAAGCCUGCCGUAA
Molecule: unclassified non-coding RNA, 201 nt
Filed under: Hevea brasiliensis (rubber tree)
Lineage: Eukaryota; Viridiplantae; Streptophyta; Magnoliopsida; Malpighiales; Euphorbiaceae
Source: RNAcentral